RNAcentral lists this ribosomal RNA (251 nucleotides) under uncultured bacterium. RNAcentral's name for it is "partial 16S ribosomal RNA". It matches the Rfam family "Archaeal small subunit ribosomal RNA", at positions 474 to 727 of the family's 1478-position model. The record is from RNAcentral.
UACCAGCACCCCGAGUGGUCGGGACGUUUAUUGGGCCUAAAGCAUCCGUAGCCGGUUCUACAAGUCUUCCGUUAAAUCCACCUGCUUACAGAUGGGCUGCGGAAGAUACUAUGGAGCUAGGAGGCGGGAGAGGCAAGCGGUACUCGAUGGGUAGGGGUAAAAUCCGUUGAUCCAUUGAAGACCACCAGUGGCGAAGGCGGCUUGCCAGAACGCGCUCGACGGUGAGGGAUGAAAGCUGGGGAGCAAACCGG